This 460-nucleotide ribosomal RNA is filed under the name uncultured bacterium. Its description in RNAcentral is "partial 16S ribosomal RNA". It matches the Rfam family "Bacterial small subunit ribosomal RNA", at positions 338 to 795 of the family's 1533-position model. The record is from RNAcentral.
CCUACGGGUGGCAGCAGUGAGGAAUAUUGGUCAAUGGACGAGAGUCUGAACCAGCCAAGUAGCGUGAAGGAUGACUGCCCUAUGGGUUGUAAACUUCUUUUAUAAGGGAAUAAAACGAGGCACGUGUGCCGUUUUGUAUGUACCGUAUGAAUAAGGAUCGGCUAACUCCGUGCCAGCAGCCGCGGUAAUACGGAGGAUCCGAGCGUUAUCCGGAUUUAUUGGGUUUAAAGGGAGCGUAGGUGGAUUGUUAAGUCAGUUGUGAAAGUUUGCGGCUCAACCGUAAAAUUGCGGUUGAAACUGGCAGUCUUGAGUACAGUAGAGGUAUGCGGAAUUCGUGGUGUAGCGGUGAAAUGCUUAGAUAUCACGAAGAACUCCGAUUGCGAAGGCAGCUUACUGCACUGCGACUGACACUGAUGCUCGAAAGUGUGGGUAUCAAACAGGAUUAGAUACCCGGGUAGUC